GUGGAGGCGGAGGGCGGCCUGGGUCUGCCUGCUCGGAAGAGAAACCGAGGCAGCUGCCAGGCCCCGGCCCUGCUCCCACGAGGCCCGCCCGGGGUGCGGGAGGGCGCGGGGGAAAUCCAGGGAGAAGCGGGGGCGGCCGGGACGCGUGGUGGCAGGCGCGUGCUGGAGGGCCUCCCACGCCCUGGCGCACCCGGAGAAGUCUUUCUCCCAGAGGAAAAGGAAAUGCGGGUCACGGUCAGAACCCAGCCGAACCCUCCCAGCACAGGACUCGCCGGCGCCAGGCCGGAGCGGGCGACAGUGGCAGCAUUCCAACGUCAAAUCAAGAUAGACGGCAAGAACCCACGAGAAGAAGUCUGUGUCCCCAAACAUUCCAGUUGCACCUUCCCAAAGGUUGGGGGGUGGGGCGCGGCUUUCGUCUUUUUAAAAUGGCCCCGGGGCAGGCAGGGGGCUGCGGUGCUGGGGGCGGGCGCCGGUGUCACCUUCACACCAGAGGAUCCCUCUGCCUUCCCCUCACGCCCCGGCCUGAGAUUGGCUUAGCGCGGGUGGCGUGCGGUCCUCGGUUGGUUUAACGCUUCCCAGUUCACACCUGCGCUCGCUAUCGGGGCUGUGCCGGGGCUGCGCCGCCCGGGAGGCGGCCUGGGAGGUGACACGGGUGUCUCCGGGCUUCCCAGGACCCUGCCGGGGGUUCCCGCCUGGCGCUGCUGCUGAGACAUUGAACGUUUCAGAGCAAGGGGCCCCACAGGUUUUCUCCAGUCCUAUCUGUUAUCCCACCUGCCCAUUGCCCUCAUGCAGCACCUGCCCUCUAUUCCACAGGCGGGAAAGUGAGUCUGGAAAGGACGACUGGGGAGGGGGAGCCGAGACUAGCCCUGGCCUUGGGGAGCAUCCGGGUUGAGUCCCAGCGGUGGUCUCUCCCGCCAGCUGCUCUGGCCUGCUGACACCUCCACCGCUUACUGCAUUUCAUUUUAAAAACGCCCGCGCUGUUUGCUCACCUGCCAGCGGGGGUCCUGGGAGCUGCCGGGCCCGCGUCGCCCCUCCUGCCGCCCUCCUGCCGCCCUCCUUCCCCGGGCCUCGGAGCGGCCGGUGGGACUCCAGCCACCUCCGUGCCCCGUCGCCCGUCCUGGAGGGCCCAGGCCACUGCUUUGUUCUCUCCCGGGACGCAUUCCUGACCUUUAGACCCUCCUGGGCCCAGAGCUGGCCCUGCGCCCGCCCGUGGCAAUCGCUGCCUCCUGGGCGUUCCCUUCCCGUCCUGGGGCCCAGGCUGGGCAGCGGCGGGAAGGGAAAGCGCUGCCCGUGGCGAGGGCCAGCAGGGGUGGCCCUGCGCCCUGCACCUGCAGUGCCCCACCUGUCCCCAGCCCUGUGCGGUCCAGGUCAGCCACACGGCACUCGGGUCGGGGGCUGGGCAGGGCUCUGUGGUCCCCCGGGGGUCCGUUCACUUCUUGCCCGGGGCCGUUGGCCUCGGUGGGAUCCCUUUUGGGGACCAGACUUUCACUGCUCUGAGGACACCGUUCAUUUCGCCCCCGUCUGGGGCUCCUGCGAUGGGUGGGUUCUGAGCAGCGCCCUGGGUACCACUGGGACCCCUGCAAAGCCUCAUGGCCCCCUCCCCAGUGCUGCAGAAGGAGAGCCUGUUCCAGGCGGGCACCCACGUCUACAGAAUCCCCGCCCUGCUCUACCUGCCCCAGCGGCGCAGCCUCCUGGCCUUCGCGGAGCAGCGGACGAGUUACAAGGACGAGGACGCGGAUGUGAUUGUCCUGCGCAGAGGAGAGCACGACGCGUCCACCCACCGCGUCCGGGUAAGGCAGGCCCGGCUCAGGGGCUUCUCCAGGGUGGCUCCGUACACGCCCCUCUGCUGAGUGUGCCCGCGGAGCCAGGUCUGGAUGGAAUGGAAAGGGGGGACAACGGGAGGGUGGCGGUCUCGGGGAUGGAGGGAAAAGGGGAAUUGGAAGGCAGCAAGAGGGCCCCAGGGAAGCCUCUUCUGGGGCGGAGCCGAGAGGGCACCCCCUCGGAACCCACCCGGGCUCAUAGGAGCAGCCUGCCAGCCUGGCUGCACCCGCUCCGCUGCCUGGCUGGACGAGCCAGUCAGGGAAACUGGAUUCUAAAGAGCACUCCAUCGAGAAAUGGUUCAGUAUCAUGGAACCGGGGGCUUGAAUCUUUUGAGCAAAAUUAACCUGGGAGGAAGGGGGCAGUUGGGGUGAUUUCUUGUGUCCUGAAGUUCCAAUAUAUCCAGUAAUUAAUUCUGUGGAGGACACUCAAGCUGGCUUAUCAUAUUUGAAGGGUCUAAUAGUACUAUUAUCAUUUUGUGGUCUUUAUCACAAAUAGUCGUUUAGAGACCUGAGUUCAAGUCCUCCUUCCACCACUUCCCAGCAGCCUGAUCUCAGGCAACUCCUC
Molecule: long non-coding RNA, 2385 nt
Filed under: Dasypus novemcinctus (nine-banded armadillo)
Lineage: Eukaryota; Metazoa; Chordata; Mammalia; Cingulata; Dasypodidae
Description: lncRNA (ENSDNOG00000051963.1)
Source: RNAcentral